AAGGGUUUAAGUUAACUAAACUAAUAGCCUUCAAAGCUUUCAAUAAUAUUUUUAUUAAUCCUUG
Molecule: transfer RNA, 64 nt
Filed under: Eunoe nodosa
Lineage: Eukaryota; Metazoa; Annelida; Polychaeta; Phyllodocida; Polynoidae
Description: tRNA-Trp
Source: RNAcentral